GUGGGGAAUCUUGCGCAAUGGGCGAAAGCCUGACGCAGCCAUGCCGCGUGAAUGAUGAAGGUCUUAGGAUUGUAAAAUUCUUUCACCGGGGACGAUAAUGACGGUACCCGGAGAAGAAGCCCCGGCUAACUUCGUGCCAGCAGCCGCGGUAAUACGAAGGGGGCUAGCGUUGCUCGGAAUUACUGGGCGUAAAGGGCGCGUAGGCGGACAGUUUAGUCAGAGGUGAAAGCCCAGGGCUCAACCUUGGAAUUGCCUUUGAUACUGGCUGUCUUGAGUACGGGAGAGGUGAGUGGAACUCCGAGUGUAUAGGUGAAAUUCGUAGAUAUUCGGAAGAACACCAGUGGCGAAGGCGACCACCUGGCUCGGUACUGACGCUGAGGCGCGACAGCGUGGGGAGCAAACAGGAUUAGAAACCCGAGUAGUCC
This 425-nucleotide ribosomal RNA is filed under the name uncultured bacterium. RNAcentral describes it as "partial 16S ribosomal RNA". It matches the Rfam family "Bacterial small subunit ribosomal RNA", at positions 354 to 796 of the family's 1533-position model. The record is from RNAcentral.